UGGGGAAUAUUGCACAAUGGGCGCAAGCCUGAUGCAGCGACGCCGCGUGAGGGAUGACGGCCUUCGGGUUGUAAACCUCUUUCAGUAGGGAAGAAGCGAGAGUGACGGUACCUGCAGAAGAAGCGCCGGCUAACUACGUGCCAGCAGCCGCGGUAAUACGUAGGGCGCAAGCGUUAUCCGGAUUUAUUGGGCGUAAAGAGCUCGUAGGCGGUUUGUCGCGUCUGCCGUGAAAGUCCGAGGCUCAACCUCGGAUCUGCGGUGGGUACGGGCAGACUAGAGUGAUGUAGGGGAGACUGGAAUUCCUGGUGUAGCGGUGAAAUGCGCAGAUAUCAGGAGGAACACCGAUGGCGAAGGCAGGUCUCUGGGCAUUUACUGACGCUGAGGAGCGAAAGCAUGGGGAGCGAACAGG
RNAcentral lists this ribosomal RNA (409 nucleotides) under uncultured Glutamicibacter sp. RNAcentral's name for it is "bacterial SSU rRNA". It matches the Rfam family "Bacterial small subunit ribosomal RNA", at positions 355 to 776 of the family's 1533-position model. The record is from RNAcentral. Lineage: Bacteria; Bacillati; Actinomycetota; Actinomycetes; Micrococcales; Micrococcaceae.